UACGGAGGGGGCUAGCGUUGUUCGGAAUUACUGGGCGUAAAGCGCACGUAGGCGGCUUUGUAAGUUAGAGGUGAAAGCCCGGGGCUCAACUCCGGAAUUGCCUUUAAGACUGCAUCGCUAGAAUUGUGGAGAGGUAAGUGGAAUUCCGAGUGUAGAGGUGAAAUUCGUAGAUAUUCGGAAGAACACCGGUGGCGAAGGCGGCCUGCUGGGCAGUUGCUGACGCUGAGGCGCGACAGCGUGGGGAGCAAACAGG
RNAcentral lists this ribosomal RNA (253 nucleotides) under uncultured bacterium. Its description in RNAcentral is "partial 16S ribosomal RNA". It matches the Rfam family "Bacterial small subunit ribosomal RNA", at positions 524 to 776 of the family's 1533-position model. The record is from RNAcentral.